This 62-nucleotide transfer RNA is filed under the name Ectopseudomonas oleovorans. RNAcentral's name for it is "Pseudomonas oleovorans tRNA_Glu_TTC". It matches the Rfam family "tRNA", at positions 6 to 65 of the family's 71-position model. Rfam says of the family: Transfer RNA (tRNA) molecules are approximately 80 nucleotides in length. Their secondary structure includes four short double-helical elements and three loops (D, anti-codon, and T loops). RNAcentral also lists the same sequence under 1 other name. Lineage: Bacteria; Pseudomonadati; Pseudomonadota; Gammaproteobacteria; Pseudomonadales; Pseudomonadaceae. The record is from RNAcentral.
CUUCGUCUAGUGGCCUAGGACACCGCCCUUUCACGGCGGUAACAGGGGUUCGAGUCCCCUAG